RNAcentral lists this ribosomal RNA (489 nucleotides) under uncultured bacterium. Its description in RNAcentral is "partial 16S ribosomal RNA". It matches the Rfam family "Bacterial small subunit ribosomal RNA", at positions 29 to 507 of the family's 1533-position model. The record is from RNAcentral.
AUGAACGCUAGCUACAGGCUUAACACAUGCCAGUCGCGGGGCAGCAUGGGGGUUGCUUGCAAUCCCCGAUGGCGACCGGCGCACGGGUGAGUAACGCGUAUCCAACCUGCCCUUCACCACGGGAUAACCCGGCGAAAGUCGGACUAAUACCGUAUGUUGUCCAUUGACGGCAUCCGAUUUGGACGAAAGGUUUGGCGGUGAAGGAUGGGGAUGCGUCCGAUUAGCUGGACGGCGGGGUGACGGCCCACCGUGGCGACGAUCGGUAGGGGUUCUGAGAGGAAGGUCCCCCACACUGGAACUGAGACACGGUCCAGACUCCUACGGGAGGCAGCAGUGAGGAAUAUUGGUCAAUGGGCGUAAGCCUGAACCAGCCAAGUAGCGUGCAGGAUGACGGCCCUAUGGGUUGUAAACUGCUUUUAUGCGGGGAUAAAGUGGCCCACGUGUGGGUUUUUGCAGGUACCGCAUGAAUAAGGACCGGCUAAUUCCGUG